RNAcentral lists this ribosomal RNA (253 nucleotides) under uncultured bacterium. RNAcentral's name for it is "partial 16S ribosomal RNA". It matches the Rfam family "Bacterial small subunit ribosomal RNA", at positions 524 to 776 of the family's 1533-position model. The record is from RNAcentral.
UACGUAGGGUGCAAGCGUUGUCCGGAAUCAUUGGGCGUAAAGCGCGCGUAGGCGGCCCGGUAAGUCCGCUGUGAAAGUCAAAGGCUCAACCUUUGAAUGUCAGCGGAUACUGCCGGGCUAGAGUCCGGAAGAGGCGAGUGGAAUUCCUGGUGUAGCGGUGGAAUGCGCAGAUAUCAGGAGGAACACCAACGGCGAAGGCAGCUCGCUGGGACGGUACUGACGCUGAGGCGCGAAAGCGUGGGGAGCGAACAGG